AGCAUUCUGUAUCUGUGCUGAGAUUUCGUCACACACCAGACAACAAGGGCUGAUGAGACUCCCAAGAUAGGAGAAGCG
This is a non-coding RNA of Schistosoma mattheei, 78 nucleotides long. The record is from Rfam. Lineage: Eukaryota; Metazoa; Platyhelminthes; Trematoda; Strigeidida; Schistosomatidae.